Molecule: ribosomal RNA, 468 nt
Filed under: uncultured bacterium
Lineage: Bacteria
Description: partial 16S ribosomal RNA
Rfam family: Bacterial small subunit ribosomal RNA
Source: RNAcentral
GACGAACGCUGGCGGCGUGCUUAACACAUGCAAGUCGAACGGAAAGGCCCUGCUUUUGUGAGGUGCUCGAGUGGCGAACGGGUGAGUAACACGUGAGUAACCUGCCCUUGACUUUGGGAUAACUUCAGGAAACUGGGGCUAAUACCGGAUAGGAGCUCCUGCUGCAUGGUGGGGGUUGGAAAGUUUCGGCGGUUGGGGAUGGACUCGCGGCUUAUGAGCUUGUUGGUGGGGUAGUGGCUUACCAAGGCUUUGACGGGUAGCCGGCCUGAGAGGGUGACCGGCCACAUUGGGACUGAGAUACGGCCCAGACUCCUACGGGAGGCAGCAGUGGGGAAUAUUGCACAAUGGGCGGAAGCCUGAUGCAGCAACGCCGCGUGCGGGAUGACGGCCUUCGGGUUGUAAACCGCUUUCGCCUGUGACGAAGCGUGAGUGACGGUAAUGGGUAAAGAAGCACCGGCUAACUACGUG